GAUUCCCCUAGUAACGGCGAGUGAAGCGGGAUGAGCUCAAAUUUAAAAUCUGGCUGGUUUACCAGUCCGAGUUGUAGUUUAAAGAAGCGUUUUCGGUGGCAGUCUCGGUAUAAAUCCUUUGGAAUAGGGUAUCAUAGAGGGUGAGAAUCCCGUCUUUGACUGAGAAUAUGCUACUAUGUGAUACGUUUUCAAAGAGUCGAGUUGUUUGGGAAUGCAGCUCAAAAUGGGUGGUAAAUUUCAUCUAAAGCUAAAUAUUGGCGAGAGACCGAUAGCGAACAAGUACCGUGAGGGAAAGAUGAAAAGAACUUUGAAAAGAGAGUUAAACAGUGCGUGAAAUUGUUGAAAGGGAAACGCUUGAAACCAGUCAUGCGGUUGGGAAAUCAGUCUCUGACGGGGGGGAAUGGGGGAGGUGUGGACCGCAAGGCCGCUCUUUCUUAUAUCUUUCUCGGCAGGGAUGCACUUUUUCUUCUGCAGGUCAACAUCAGUUUGCUUUGCCGGACAAAACUCUUGGGAAGGUGACAGCUUAGGCUGUGUUAUAGCCCUUGAGCGAUACGGUGGAGCGGACUGAGGUUUUCGCAGCAUGUGCUCUCGGGCAAGGCUGAUUGGGUGCUAUGAGAUCGUUCAGGGUACAAUACAUGUAUUUUGCCUUGUGUCUUUUUUAUACUCGCUCAACUCGGCUCUUCCAUGCUUAGGAUGUUGACAUAAUGGUUUUAAUCGACCCGUCUUGAAACACGGACCAAGGAGUCUAACAUAUAUGCAAGUGUUUGGGUGGCAAACCCAUGCGCGUAAUGAAAGUGAACGUAGUGCGAUCCGCAAGGUGCAGCAUCGACCGAUCUUGAUAUUUUGGAUAGAUUUGAGUAGAGCAUAUAUGCUGGGACCCGAAAGAUGUGAACUAUGCCUGAUUAGGUGAAGCAGAGAAACUCUGGUGAGCUCGUAGCGAUUCUGACGUGCAAUCGAUCGUCAAUUUGGUAUAGGGCGAAAGACUAUCGACAUCUAGUAGCUGUCUGCCAGUUCUCCCC
RNAcentral lists this ribosomal RNA (1019 nucleotides) under Gryganskiella fimbricystis. RNAcentral describes it as "eukaryotic LSU rRNA". It matches the Rfam family "Eukaryotic large subunit ribosomal RNA", at positions 73 to 974 of the family's 3401-position model. The record is from RNAcentral. Lineage: Eukaryota; Fungi; Mortierellomycota; Mortierellomycetes; Mortierellales; Mortierellaceae.